GGGGACAGUGGCUCAGUGGUAGAGCAUCUGCUCGAUAAGCAGAAGGUCCCAGGUUCGAUCCCUGGCAUCUCCA
Heteronotia binoei (common prickly gecko) is the source of this 73-nucleotide non-coding RNA. The record is from the annotation of a RefSeq genome assembly. Lineage: Eukaryota; Metazoa; Chordata; Lepidosauria; Squamata; Gekkonidae.